GUGCCAGCCGCCGCGGUAAUACGGAGGGUGCAAGCGUUAUCCGGAUUUAUUGGGUUUAAAGGGUCCGUAGGCGGAUGCGUAAGUCAGUGGUGAAAUCUCACAGCUCAACUGUGAAACUGCCAUUGAUACUGCGUGUCUUGAGUGAGGUUGAAGUAGCUGGAAUAAGUAGUGUAGCGGUGAAAUGCAUAGAUAUUACUUAGAACACCAAUUGCGAAGGCAGGUUACUAAGUCUCAACUGACGCUGAUGGACGAAAGCGUGGGGAGCGAACAGGAUUAGAUACCCUGGUAGUCCACGCUGUAAACGAUGCUAACUCGUUUUUGGGGAUUUAUCUUCAGAGACUAAGCGAAAGUGAUAAGUUAGCCACCUGGGGAGUACGAACGCAAGUUUGAAACUCAAGGGAAUUGACGGGGGCCCGCACAAGCGGUGGAUUAUGUGGUUUAAUUCGAUGAUACGCGAGGAACCUUACCAAGGCUUAAAUGGGAAUUGAUCGGUUUAGAAAUAGACCUUCCUUCGGGCAAUUUUCAAGGUGCUGCAUGGUUGUCGUCAGCUCGUGCCGUGAGGUGUUAGGUUAAGUCCUGCAACGAGCGCAACCCCUGUCACUAGUUGCCAUCAUUCAGUUGGGGACUCUAGUGAGACUGCCUACGCAAGUAGAGAGGAAGGUGGGGAUGACGUCAAAUCAUCACGGCCCUUACGCCUUGGGCCACACACGUAAUACAAUGGCCGGUACAGAGGGCAGCUACACAGCGAUGUGAUGCAAAUCUCGAAAGCCGGUCUCAGUUCGGAUUGGAGUCUGCAACUCGACUCUAUGAAGCUGGACUCGCUAGUAAUCGCGCAUCAGCCAUGGCGCGGUGAAUACGUUCCCGGGCCUUGUACACACCGCCCGUCAAGCCAUGGAAGUCUGGGGUACCUGAAGUCGGUGACCGUAAAAGGAGCUGCCUAGGGUAAAACAGGUAACUAGGGCUAAGUCGUAACAAGGUAACC
RNAcentral lists this ribosomal RNA (982 nucleotides) under uncultured Flavobacteriaceae bacterium. Its description in RNAcentral is "bacterial SSU rRNA". It matches the Rfam family "Bacterial small subunit ribosomal RNA", at positions 505 to 1501 of the family's 1533-position model. The record is from RNAcentral. Lineage: Bacteria; Pseudomonadati; Bacteroidota; Flavobacteriia; Flavobacteriales; Flavobacteriaceae.